GUGGAUGAGGCAUGCAAGUCGAACGGUUCAAGUAGCAAUACUUGAAUAGUGGCGGAAGGGUUAGUAAUACAUGGGUAACUUGCCUUUAACUGUGGAAUAACGGUUGGAAACGACCGCUAAUACCACAUGUGGUGAUACAGGGCAUCCUGUUUUCAUUAAAGUAGGGGAUUCGUAAGAACCUUGCGGUUAAAGAGAGGCCCAUGGGAUAUCAGCUAGUUGGUGUGGUAAGAGCACACCAAGGCUAAGACGUCUAGGCGGAUUGAGAGAUUG
RNAcentral lists this ribosomal RNA (270 nucleotides) under uncultured Chlamydiales bacterium. Its description in RNAcentral is "partial 16S ribosomal RNA". It matches the Rfam family "Bacterial small subunit ribosomal RNA", at positions 44 to 302 of the family's 1533-position model. Lineage: Bacteria; Pseudomonadati; Chlamydiota; Chlamydiia; Chlamydiales. The record is from RNAcentral.